RNAcentral lists this ribosomal RNA (330 nucleotides) under Triticum aestivum (bread wheat). RNAcentral describes it as "partial small subunit ribosomal RNA". The record is from RNAcentral. Lineage: Eukaryota; Viridiplantae; Streptophyta; Magnoliopsida; Poales; Poaceae.
AUGCCUUUGGUGUCGCAGAGUCAAACAAUGAUACCAAUGUACCUACUCAAUCGACAUUGUUUACUUACAGUUAAGAGUGGAAGCUCCACAAGUGCAGUAGUAUGUCAACAAUAUGAAAUACAACUUGUAGAUGGAAUACCCGCAUGGGCUGUAUCCAUUAAGACGAUGGCCUCCCCGCAUACAAACAAACAAGCACAAAUUGUUUGCGAAUAUAUAGAAGGUUCAUAUUGUGGGUCAACCUAUCGUCUUUUGCAUCAUCUCAUACAUGCAGAUCCCAAAGUAUUUACUGUUUCAUCUUUGUCUCAUUUGAAUAUUUCCUAUACAAGUUGA